CCCAGACUCCUACGGGAGGCAGCAGUGGGGGAUAUUGCACAAUGGGGGAAACCCUGAUGCAGCGACGCCGCGUGAGUGAAGAAGUAUUUCGGUAUGUAAAGCUCUCUCAGCAGGGAAGAAAAAAGACGGUACCUGACUAAGAAGCCCCGGCUAACUACGUGCCAGCAGCCGCGGUAAUACGUAGGGGGCAAGCGUUAUCCGGAUUUACUGGGUGUAAAGGGAGCGUAGACGGCGACGCAAGUCUGGAGUGAAAGCCCGGGGCCCAACCCCGGGACUGCUCUGGAAACUGCGUCGCUGGAGUACGGGAGGGGCAGACGGAAUUCCUGGUGUAGCGGUGAAAUGCGUAGAUAUCAGGAGGAACACCGGCGGCGAAGGCGGCCUGCUGGACCGUGACUGACGUUGAGGCUCGAGAGCGUGGGGAGCAAACAGGAUUAGAUACCCGCGUA
RNAcentral lists this ribosomal RNA (446 nucleotides) under uncultured bacterium. RNAcentral's name for it is "bacterial SSU rRNA". It matches the Rfam family "Bacterial small subunit ribosomal RNA", at positions 330 to 792 of the family's 1533-position model. The record is from RNAcentral.